GAAAUUCUUUUUAAACUAUUUCCUG
Molecule: transfer RNA, 25 nt
Filed under: Vulpes vulpes (red fox)
Lineage: Eukaryota; Metazoa; Chordata; Mammalia; Carnivora; Canidae
Description: partial tRNA-Pro
Source: RNAcentral